Fundulus heteroclitus (mummichog) is the source of this 856-nucleotide long non-coding RNA. RefSeq lists it as uncharacterized. The record is from RefSeq and is a predicted model, not a curated record. NCBI's taxonomy places the organism in Eukaryota, Metazoa, Chordata, Actinopteri, Cyprinodontiformes, Fundulidae. The transcript is spliced from 2 exons.
AAACCGUCAUCCUGCCUGAGGAGUCCUAUGCUGCCGUCAUCACAGAGGCUAUUGCUUUCUCUAUCGCUGAAAGCAAUAACACAGACAGACACAGAGAACGACAGUGAACCUAUCAGUCUCCCCCGCCGUGAGCCAGAAAAGAUGUAAGAUCUCGCCAAGUCUGAUAAGCAACACCAAACGCUCCUCGCUCUUUCCUUCUCAUUUCACUCCACCCAGCCCGUCCCUGCAGCUCCAGCACGACAGCUGGGGCCCCGGUCCCACAUCAAUGGAAAUUUUCUGAACUGUCACUCCAGUGAGACGGCCUGAGUGAUGGCGUAACACGGGGAGCGUUGCUGCAAAGGCCACGCACAGAUGGGCGCACACACCAUCUCCCCCACUCAGCCCCAUCGUCCCCGGUCCCCACACGAUGGCUGUCGCCCCGGCUCAGGCGCUCCGAGGAAAAAUUAGUCCGGCGAUGCGUGCUUCUCUCCAUCUCAGGCCUCCACUGCAACUCGCCAGCCUCAACCCCUUCACAUUGUGUCCUCACCUGAUACAUUGUCGCAAUCCCACCUGUCAUGAUAACUCAGACUGAGGCCGAAAUGAAAAGGUGACAGGGGCAAAGGCCAAGAAAAUGGAGGGCUCCUGUACAUUAAUCUUCUGCCGUUCUGUAUCUCAGAGGCUAAUCCUACCUUGCUGAGGGCUAUCGGUUCACCCUAUGAGCUCACCUUGCUGUAUCCAUUUCUCAAAGGUUUCCAAGCAUAAGACAUAUAUGGAAGGAUCUCACUCUGAUCCGACGAUAAGCAAAGGGAGAACAAAUGGGUUUCAGAACAAACAGAUUGUGAAGAUUAGGUUAUAUAAAAAAAAAGUCAUACAGUGA